RNAcentral lists this transfer RNA (73 nucleotides) under Escherichia coli. Its description in RNAcentral is "tRNA-Val". It matches the Rfam family "tRNA". Rfam says of the family: Transfer RNA (tRNA) molecules are approximately 80 nucleotides in length. Lineage: Bacteria; Pseudomonadati; Pseudomonadota; Gammaproteobacteria; Enterobacterales; Enterobacteriaceae. The record is from RNAcentral.
UUAUUAGCUCAGCUGGGAGAGCACCUCCCUUACAAGGAGGGGGUCGGCGGUUCGAUCCCGUCAUCACCCACCA